RNAcentral lists this ribosomal RNA (468 nucleotides) under uncultured bacterium. RNAcentral describes it as "partial 16S ribosomal RNA". It matches the Rfam family "Bacterial small subunit ribosomal RNA", at positions 28 to 507 of the family's 1533-position model. The record is from RNAcentral.
GACGAACGCUGGCGGCGUGCUUAACACAUGCAAGUCGAACGGAAAGGCCCUGCUUUUGUGGGGUGCUCGAGUGGCGAAAGGGUGAGUAACACGUGAGUAACCUGCCCUUGACUUUGGGAUAACUUCAGGAAACUGGGGCUAAUACCGGAUAGGAGCUCCUGCUGCAUGGUGGGGGUUGGAAAGUUUCGGCGGUUGGGGAUGGACUCGCGGCUUAUCAGCUUGUUGGUGGGGUAGUGGCUUACCAAGGCUUUGACGGGUAGCCGGCCUGAGAGGGUGACCGGCCACAUUGGGACUGAGAUACGGCCCAGACUCCGACGGGAAGCAGCAGUGGGGAAUAUUGCACAAUGGGCGGAAGCCUGAUGCAGCAACGCCGCGUGCGGGAUGACGGCCUUCGGGUUGUAAACCGCUUUCGCCUGUGACGAAGCGUGAGUGACGGUAAUGGGUAAAGAAGCACCGGCUAACUACGUG